This is a long non-coding RNA of Beta vulgaris subsp. vulgaris (sugar beet), 522 nucleotides long. RefSeq lists it as uncharacterized. NCBI's taxonomy places the organism in Eukaryota, Viridiplantae, Streptophyta, Magnoliopsida, Caryophyllales, Amaranthaceae. The record is from RefSeq and is a predicted model, not a curated record. The transcript is spliced from 2 exons.
UAUAUAUAUGUAUAUGAAUGGAACGAUAACAUGAAAUCUUUCUUUCCGUUUAUUCUACCCCUCUUAUUUGUUUCGAGAUAUGGUUAUUGGUUGCGGGAUUAUUCUAAUCGGUCCUUACGUACUUGACAAUUGAGAAAAGAUACACAACAUUUUUGGUUAGAGAUUUGUAAAUGAAAUUAAAUGCAAAUGAACACGGUGCUGAUGCUAACAUUAAUCCGCAGCUGUUGUGACUCAUAUUGAAGAUUGAGUUAUGUGCUUCGGAUUACUCAUAACAACACUUGCUGCAGAGCUAUUGGAGCAUUUUAUAUGUAGUGACUGCAUAUCUUGCUCAGUUUUAAGAGUGAUUUAUUGGAGCAUUUAUGUAGAAGUUGUCUUGAAGAGAAUUGUGAAACCAUUUGAAUUGUCUAGUUUACAACUUAAUAGAUUUGUAAUAAUAAUGUACUUUGUAAAUUUGCAAUGGGCAUGAAUAUUAUAUGCAUAAUUUUUCUUUUGUUUAUAAAAUUUCAAUUUUAUUCUGAUGUA